Non-coding RNA from Myotis brandtii (Brandt's bat), 139 nucleotides. The record is from Rfam. Lineage: Eukaryota; Metazoa; Chordata; Mammalia; Chiroptera; Vespertilionidae.
UUGUCCUGGCCUAUGCUCUCUCUCUGCUCCCCUCUGCUCAGCUGUAACAGGGAAGUCUGGCAGGACACACAGCAACCUCCCUCUCAGUUUAGGAGGGCUUUCCUGAGUAUAGGCUGGAUCUUAAAGGCACGAGGACAAU